RNAcentral lists this ribosomal RNA (1235 nucleotides) under metagenome. RNAcentral's name for it is "bacterial LSU rRNA". It matches the Rfam family "Bacterial large subunit ribosomal RNA", at positions 1564 to 2808 of the family's 2925-position model. The record is from RNAcentral.
UGAGUACGAGAUGCUACGGCAUUGAAGCAGUCUAUGUCAGACUUCCAAGAAAAGCUCGGAAUAUCAUAAACAAGAAAUGCCUGUACCAUAACCGACACAGGUGGGUAGGUAGAGUAUACUAAGGGGCGCGACAUAACUCUCUCUAAGGAACUCGGCAAAAUGACUCCGUAACUUCGGGAGAAGGAGUGCCUUAUUUUAUAAGGUUGCAAUAACAAGAUCCAAGCAACUGUUUACCAAAAACACAGGUCUCCGCUAAGUCGUAAGACGAUGUAUGGGGGCUGACGCCUGCCCAGUGCCAGAAGGUUAAAGAAGUUGGUUAGCAAUAGCGAAGCUGAUAACUGAAGCCCUGGUGAACGGCGGCCGUAACAAUAACGGUCCUAAGGUAGCGAAAUUCCUUGUCGGGUAAGUUCCGACCCGCACGAAAGGCGUAAUGAUUUGGAUACUGUCUCGGAGAGGGGCUCGGUGAAAUAGACUUGUCUGUGAAGAUGCGGACUACCUGCACCAGGACAGAAAGACCCUAUGAAGCUUUACUGUAACUUGAGAUUGAAAUUGGACUUUAUUUGCGCAGUAUAGGUGGGAGACGUUGAAAAUAUUCUUGCGGGAUUAUUGGAGUCAUCAGUGAGAUACCACUCUUGUAAUGUUAGAUUUCUAACUUUGUAUCAUUAUCUGGUCAAAGGACAGUUUCAGGCGGGCAGUUUGACUGGGGCGGUCGCCUCCCAAACGGUAACGGAGGCGCACAAAGGUUUCCUCUGAACGUGUAGAAAUCGUAUCUAGAGUGUAAAGGCAUAAGGAAGCUUGACUGUGAGACCUACAAGUCGAGCAGGGACGAAAGUCGGUCUUAGUGAUCUGACGGUGCUGAGUGGAAAGGCCGUCACUCAACGGAUAAAAGUUACUCUAGGAUAACAGGCUGAUCUCCCCCAAGAGUUCACAUCGACGGGGAGGUUUGGCACCUCGAUGUCGGCUCAUCGCAUCCUGGGGCGGUAGUACGUCCCAAGGGUUGGGCUGUUCGCCCAUGAAAGCGGUACGCGAGCUGGGUUCAGAACGUCGUGAGACAGUUCGGUCCAUAUCCGGUGUAGGCGUUAGAAUAUUGAGAGGAGCCUUCUUUAGUACGAGAGGACCGAGGAGGACAUACCUCUGGUCUACCAGUUAUCGUGCCAACGGUAAACGCUGGGUAGCUAUGUGUGGAGUGGAUAACCGCUGAAAGCAUCUAAGUGGGAAGCCCACCUCAAGAUAAG